Telopea speciosissima is the source of this 193-nucleotide long non-coding RNA. RefSeq lists it as uncharacterized. NCBI's taxonomy places the organism in Eukaryota, Viridiplantae, Streptophyta, Magnoliopsida, Proteales, Proteaceae. The record is from RefSeq and is a predicted model, not a curated record. The transcript has 3 exons.
GCAAUUGCAAUUACUGAAAAACGAGUCCUUGUGACAAACAACUUUAACCGAGCUGACCAUGAUGGCUGUAAAGGUCCGUUACGCUCUCAUUGGUCUUGCUAUUUCUUUCCUGAAACAUCCAUGGAGUGUAGAGAUCGUGCAUUUGAACUUAUGGGAAGACCAAAAGCUUGGGAGAAGGGAAUUACUUUUCCUA